CCUACGGGUGGCAGCCGUGAGGAAUAUUGUUCAAUAGGCGCAAGCCUGAACCAGCCAAGUCUCGUGAGUGAUGACGUUCCUAUGAAUUGUAAACCUCUUUAGGCGGGGAGCAAUGCCUGGCACUUGUGCCCGGAGGUCGAGUACCCACAGAAUAAGCAUCGGCUAACUCCGUUCCAGCAGCCGAGUUAAUACGUGGGAUACAGGCGUUAUCCGGAUUUAUUGGUGUUAAAGGGUGCUUAGGCGGAUGUUUAAGUCAUCGGUAAAAUGUCCGGGCUCAACCCAGGCCGGCCGUUGAAACUGGUGAUCUUUAGUGGGCGAGAAGUAUGCGGAAUGCGUGGUGUAGCGGUGAAAUGCAUAGAUAUCACGCAGAACUCCGAUUGCGAAGG
Molecule: ribosomal RNA, 386 nt
Filed under: uncultured bacterium
Lineage: Bacteria
Description: partial 16S ribosomal RNA
Rfam family: Bacterial small subunit ribosomal RNA
Source: RNAcentral